UACGGGAGGCAGCAGUGGGGAAUAUUGCGCAAUGGGGGCAACCCUGACGCAGCAACGCCGCGUGCGGGAGGAAGGCACUCGUGUCGUAAACCGCUUUCAGCAGGGAAGACAUCGACGGUACCUGCAGAAGAAGCCCCGGCUAACUACGUGCCAGCAGCCGCGGUAAU
Molecule: ribosomal RNA, 167 nt
Filed under: uncultured rumen bacterium
Lineage: Bacteria
Description: partial 16S ribosomal RNA
Rfam family: Bacterial small subunit ribosomal RNA
Source: RNAcentral